AAAAAGUUUCUCAGAAUGUACACUGUUAUAGAAUGCUAAGUUUCCAAUUUGUGAGAAGAAACUCAAGGAUAUAUUUAGGUGGCUAAAAGAUGUCAUAAAAAAUCACAAGUUUAAAUGAAGAGCAUUCAUUCUAUUAAAUAUUCAUUCAGCACUCACUAUCAUCUUGCAUUCAUCACUAACCAAGUUGCAUAUAUAUAUAUAUAUAUAUGUGUGGAGAGAGAGAGAGAGAAAUACAUUGUUACUAAGUAGUCUUAUUAUUCAUUGUCUUUAAAGUUCCUUGCAUGAAAUAAAAGAACGUUGUCCCGAUGUCUUGCUUUGAAUAAACAAAUGGUUAUCAAAAAAAAAAAAACCAUAACAUCC
This is a non-coding RNA of Biomphalaria pfeifferi, 360 nucleotides long. Lineage: Eukaryota; Metazoa; Mollusca; Gastropoda; Planorbidae. The record is from the annotation of a GenBank genome assembly.